UACGUAGGAUGCAAGCGUUGCCCGGAUUUAUUGGGCGUAAAGAGCUCGUAGGCGGUCUGUUGCGUCCGCUGUGAAAACCCAGGGCUUAACCCUGGGCUGGCAGUGGAUACGGACAGACUAGAGGUAGGUAGGGGAGAAUGGAAUUCCCGGUGUAGCGGUGAAAUGCGCAGAUAUCGGGAGGAACACCGGUGGCGAAGGCGGUUCUCUGGGCCUUACCUGACGCUGAGGAGCGAAAGCGUGGGGAGCGAACAGG
This 253-nucleotide ribosomal RNA is filed under the name uncultured bacterium. Its description in RNAcentral is "partial 16S ribosomal RNA". It matches the Rfam family "Bacterial small subunit ribosomal RNA", at positions 524 to 776 of the family's 1533-position model. The record is from RNAcentral.